RNAcentral lists this long non-coding RNA (1132 nucleotides) under Struthio camelus australis. RNAcentral describes it as "lncRNA (ENSSCUG00000001986.1)". Lineage: Eukaryota; Metazoa; Chordata; Aves; Struthioniformes; Struthionidae. The record is from RNAcentral.
AUGGACAUUUUUUCAGAUAAGCAGAUAGCUUACAGAAGAAUUUCUCUUUAUUUUCAUUCAUAUGGGCCUGAAAUUAUAGAUUUUAGGCAAGCAAACAAGCCUCUCAAGUUUGAAGUCAACAGGAUUUUUGCCUGGCCAGCCUCCAUCUCACAGCAGAGAGAGAUUGCCUGGGACAUCAGUUUGUUUGCACAUCUUGGAGUUCAGCAGGUCUACCUGGCUAAGGCUACUGUGUGUUCAGCUUAGAUGGUCAGAGAGUAUGGGCUUAGAAAGGACUGUAGGGUCCACUCUAGCUAUCGCUGUAACCACAGUUUAAGGACUUUAGCAUUUGGCCCUAGGUAUCUUCAUUCAACACUGUCAUAAAACAAGACGUCCUUGAAUUUUAAAAUGCCUUACCUUUUUUGUGUGCCUGAGCAAAACUAAGAGCACGUAUUUUUCCACAUAAUUUUCUUCCUUGCUAUUUAUAACAUAGCUGCACUGAGUGACCUCAGUAACAGAAAAGACUGAAAAGUCUUCCCUUCUACAUUAAAUAUAUUUAUGCAUCUAAGAGUUAACUGUAACAGCCUAGGGGCAACUUUAUGCUCCCUAUUUCUAUUCUUCAGAUUCUGACCUUUUUGUGAAUAACAUCCAGUAAAGUUCUGUACACACCUGUAAUGGAAACACAGCCCUUUAUGGAGCUUACACUGUUUACACAGAACAUAAAACAGCAGGUGAAAGAGCAUUUAUAUUUGAAAGAUUUCUUCAUGGUCUAAUAACCAGGUAGUUUCAGACUGUUAGCCCAUGAACUGUGCGGCCAGCAAAGAACCCCACUUGUCUUUUUUCCAGGAGUGAAGAUCCUACACAGCUUUAGGGAAAAAACAAAAUAAGAACAUGAUGAAAAUUUUAUUUUGUUGCCAUGUGAUCAGGGAUAGAAUAUCAGUGAACUUUUUUUUUUCCCAACUCUUGGGAAAAUUUUUUGCUUAUGCAGUGAUGAGCUAAUGGGGAGACUGUGUAGAAAAGAGAUUGACAAGGGAGUCCGGGUGCAGAAGCACAAGGACUGGAGAAGGGCAAAAGGACUGAGAUUGCCGUGAAGUGAUAGUGAGGGAAGAGGCAGUAGGAAAAAUGAACAAAACAGCUUGUUAGCACAAGGGAGCUU